Sus scrofa (pig) is the source of this 3121-nucleotide non-coding RNA. Lineage: Eukaryota; Metazoa; Chordata; Mammalia; Artiodactyla; Suidae. The record is from RefSeq and is a predicted model, not a curated record.
AUAGAACCUGCAACCUCAUGGUUCCUAGUCAGAUUCGUUAACCACUGAGCCAUGACCGGAACCCCAGUCUCCUUCUAUUACCUAUGAGCUGUGACCCUGGAUGAGAUUAAGAAGCCAUGUCUUCUCCUAAGGAGGUCUGGUUAAUGCAGACACACAACAUACACUAAAGGGGAGGAAAGAGACCCAAGUGAUCAAAAAAAAAUUUUAUAUUUAAAUUCUUCUCCUCUUCCCAUAAAAUACGAAUUUUAUUUCAUCAGGAGUUAGAGACAGAAAUUGUCAUUUAAUAAUCUGUCACCUGCUAGUAUUUAGUUUCACUGCAUUUUCUGAAGUAUAAAUGAUAGACAUCUGUGGUUUCAAUGUCCUCCUUGGAUACAUUUUUCAUUGAGAUUUUCUUUCUUUAAAUUGUUGCUUUUGUAUAGGUGGUACUCUACAAGUGGUUUCAGAAUUAACUCCUCUCUUUCCUUAUGAAAACCACUUUCCUCUGUAAAAUUUUGUUCAGCCAGUUUAAAGUAAGUAGACUCAUUGAAGUACAUUCAUAGAUUCAAUAUUAAAUAUUACCAUUUCAACCAGAUAAAAUUUGAACAUCAAUAUUAGACAAGGUCGUCACAUGUAAUGUAAGUUGUAUAUUUAUAAUUCACUGAACCAAGUAAUGAGUAUGCAAUUAGUAGCAUAGCAGAAAGAUUUGUUGAAAACCAGAGCUAUUUUUGUUAUCAGAUGAGUGAGUAUUCUCUAAGUGUUUUUCCUAAGGACAAAAUGUGCUCCUCUAAAAUGGGAUAAGAGCCACUCCAAAAUGAGAAGUCAUCUCACUUGGAUGCAUUUUAUUGGAAAACACUCACCAGGGGUCAAUUCCUGCUUCAGCUGGUAGAGAACUAAGCAGACCGUGAUAUGUCAUCACCAGAUUCUAUUCAAGGAUUAAUGGCUCCAAAGAACAAGAUGCCUCUUUAAAUCUUCCUGUAAUGUUACACCCAAUAGUGACUCGUUCCACCAUUCCAGUCCCUUUUGCACAUUGAGGGGCAGAGGAUGGCUUUUCACAAGUCUCAGAGGAACAGGGGACAUGGAUAAUCCAGUACAGGUUCUAAGUCAUCUCUUUUGGUUCAGGCCAAGUCAUGGCACCCAUGAGAUCUGCCAAAACAGAAGCUCUCCUCCCCUGGGGUGGGUGGGGUAGCAAUAGAUGGAAUUUGCUUAGAGUCAUCUCUCACCACAAGGGAAAUCUACAAUGUCCCUGGAAAGAUAUGGUCUAAUUCUGCUACUAAUUUGGUUUAAAUGACCUUGAAAGGUUGAGGGAUUUCUGUAACUCCUUCACUCCAUAUAUAAAAGGCUGUGAUAAUGAAUUUCAGGGCAGCACCUGUUGGCCUUCACAAAUCAGAACUGAGGAUCCAGAAGUGGGACUGAAACUUGUCUUCCUUUGCACCUCAGCAGGAUACCACCUCACCUGGAAAUUCAUCUUUAAGAGGAUGAACAAUCAAUAUAUCCGUCAAGAAGUCUUCUGCUGUGAAACUUGCCAUGAGCUCAAAAGCUUCUGGGAGAAAGAAAUUAGAAAACAGACUUGUUACCGGGAACUGGAAGAAGAUCGACAGGGAAGGAGUGCCCUGGGAAAGAGCAUGGAUGCAACCAGUUUCUCAAACUAAGUGAAGUCAAAAAGAGAAAUACUAUAUGAUAUUGCUUAUAUGUGAAAUCUAAAACAUGGCACAAAUGAACCUACCUACAAAACGGAAACAGACUCAGAUAUGUUUCUUGACUCUUUAUUCUCUUCCAUUACUAUCUUGAUAUUAAGACUUAAAAUCAUGUAGUGUGAGUCAUCCAACUCUCUUCUACUUUAAAAUUGUUUUGGCUAAUCUAUUUCUUUUGUCUUUCUAUAUAAAAUUUAGAAUCAGCUUGUCGAUAUCUUUGGAAAAAGUUGUGCUGGAAUUUUGAUUGGUAUUACUUGACUCCACAUGUAAACUUAGGAAGGAAUAAACUUUGGAGAAAAGUACAUGUUCGUAGACUGCUCUUUUUUCUAUUGACUUUUUCUUCAUUAAUAUGUAAAAUCCAUGUAUUUCUCUUAAAAAUAGUCCUCAAGAGUUCCCAUCAUGGCGCAGCUGUUAACGAAUCUGACUAGGAACUAUGAGGUUGCAGGUUCGAUCCCUGGCCUUGCUCAGUGGGUUAAGGAUCUGGCAUCGCCAUGCACUGUGGUGUAGUGGCAGGCGCAGCUCCCAUCCCCUUUGCUGUGGCUCUGGUGUAGGCCGGUGGCUACAGCUCUGAUUAGACCCCUAGCCUGGGAACCUCCAUAUGCCAUGGGAGUGGCCCUAGAAAAGGCAAAAAGACAAAAAAAAAAAAAAAUAGUCUUCAGAAGGAAAAAAAAACCUUCACUGGGCCAGCAGAGGUAGGAAACAAAUGCACUAACGCUUUAUAUUGUUUCCCCUCCUCAGGCUCUGAGAAGAGUGGAAGCAGAGACUGGAGAAAAGGCUGAAGAUGUUGGACAAUCCUGAUGGGAAGGAAAAGCAGACCAACACUGUAGGCUGAAAUUUACCUGCCUCCUCUACUUCAAAGAUAACAAGCCACUGAGGGUACUUUUCUAGAAGAAAAAACUAGCACCCAAGUUAUGUUGACUUACUAAGCAGGACACUCUCUAUUUGCUCUCCCAUUUGUGAGGGGAUUUACAUGUGAAACCUCCCCCAGUGCUAAUGGGAGUCCUUAUCCAACUCAAUCCUCUCUGCUACAGAGAAUAGGAUGACCGCCAAUGAAAUAGGAAGCUCAGGUUAUCUAAUAUAAAAAUCUCUUGGAAUUAGCACUUCCCAGGGUUCAAAGAUCUAUGUAAUAGAAUUGAUUUCCACAUUUUCUUCUCAUUUUGAAAUCUGAAUGUUUAAUCCAAGCUUGCCAGGGCAAUGACCUUGUGGAGAAACUGGCUUCCCUAUGUCUUCUGGAAAAACAGAGUCAUACAGUCUCCCCCCCCCCCCAUUUGGUGAAUGUAGAAAUACUACUGCUGUUGUUAUGAAAAGAAUAGUUUCUUAACAACAUGGUUUGAAAAUGAACCGAACUAAAUUAUUUUCUGUUCCUAUAAAUUGGGUUUAUUUUUCAUAAACAAGCAGAAGCAUGCAGUGAAAGUAAGGUGAUGCUUAAUAAACUUGGUUUGUCGUGUCCU